UACAUGGCCGUCUACAAUGAGCUGCGAUGCCGCGAGGCGGAGCGAAUCUCAAAAAGCCGGUCUCAGUUCGGAUUGGGGUCUGCAACUCGACCCCAUGAAGUCGGAGUUGCUAGUAAUCGCAGAUCAGCAUUGCUGCGGUGAAUACGUUCCCGGGCCUUGUACACACCGCCCGUCACGUCACGAAAGUCGGUAACACCCGAAGCCGGUGGCCCAACCCCUUGUGGGAGGGAGCUGUCGAAGGUGGGACUGGCGAUUGGGACGAAGUCGUAACAAGGUAGCCGUACCGGAGGUGCGGUUGGAUCACCUCCU
RNAcentral lists this ribosomal RNA (309 nucleotides) under Streptomyces griseus. RNAcentral's name for it is "partial 16S ribosomal RNA". It matches the Rfam family "Bacterial small subunit ribosomal RNA", at positions 1226 to 1531 of the family's 1533-position model. The record is from RNAcentral. Lineage: Bacteria; Bacillati; Actinomycetota; Actinomycetes; Kitasatosporales; Streptomycetaceae.